Gossypium hirsutum (cotton) is the source of this 105-nucleotide non-coding RNA. NCBI's taxonomy places the organism in Eukaryota, Viridiplantae, Streptophyta, Magnoliopsida, Malvales, Malvaceae. The record is from Rfam.
AAACCAUGACGAGGGCACCUUUGUAACAAGUCCUUAAAUCUUUCCCAUGUAUCAUAAAGUAUCUCAAUAUUAAAUUAGGCAAAAGAAGAGAACAUUCCUCAACUU